Telopea speciosissima is the source of this 1956-nucleotide RNA transcript. RefSeq lists it as uncharacterized. The transcript has 12 exons. NCBI's taxonomy places the organism in Eukaryota, Viridiplantae, Streptophyta, Magnoliopsida, Proteales, Proteaceae. The record is from RefSeq and is a predicted model, not a curated record.
GUCUCAGUCAUCACAAUUGAGAGAGAGAGAGAGAGAGAGAGAGAGAGAGAGGGGAAGGAUUUCAGGGUUGCAUGGCAUCGGCGGAAAUGAACGAAGGCGGAGGAGAUCAUGUAGUAGAACUUGUAGUAAACGACGGUGUGGCUGAAGGAUCUCCGGAAAUAACUCCUCUGUUGGGCGCUGCGCAGAAGCCUAAGAUUAAUAUCUUCUCUGUAUCUUAUGCUAGGAAAACGCCCAGGGAACAAGUGACAAAGAUAGUUGAAUCGGAGAUCUCAUUAUUUGUUCAGGUUAUUUUGUGGAUAUGGAGUGGAUCUAAGUACUCCGGUUUACUGUGCAUGGCCACAUCCUCUCUCAUCUACUUUAUCAUGGAAAUUCUAUCAGAUAUUUUCCCAGUUCGAUCAGUUCCUUUGUUUGAAAUUAUAUUUACAAGAUGUACAAUUAUCUUGAUCUCAUCAUUUGUGUGGUUGAGAAGGACUGGAUUACCUGUAUUUGGACCAUCUCAUGUGAGGAAGCUUUUGACUUUGAGAGCCUUAGUGGGAUUUCUCUCAUUGUUGAGUUUUGUCUAUUGCAUACAAGCCCUACCUCUGUCUCAAGCCAUUGUAUUGAACUUCACUACGCCAAUAAUGGCUUCAAUUGCAGCAAGAAUCAUUUUGGAUGAGAAGCCGAAAAUCUCAGAUAUUGGAGGUCUGGCUUGCAGUUUUUUUGGCCUUCUAUUCAUUUUCCGACCAAUGCUUAGUACACAAGGAGGAUUAGCAGAAACUGGGGAACCAAGAAAUACAUUUGUUGUCAGAGGGAGCCACCCUUUUUUUGCGGUGUUAGUUGGCUUGUUUUCCUCAGUAACUGGUGGAAUCACCUAUUGCCUUAUACGAGCUGGAGCAAAGGCAUCUGAUCAAGCUGUGGGUACUGUUUUCUCAUUUGGCCUGCUAGCUACCCCUGCUGCAGCAAUUUGUACUUUUGCCUUGCAGGAUUUUGUGUUUCCAGAUUUUUAUUCACUUGUUCACAUGGGAGUACUUGGUGAACUGGCCUUCUUUGCAGAGGUAUUUUUAGCACGUGGACUUCAGCUUGAAAAAACUAGCAAAGUUGCAAACAUCCAGUACAUUGAGGUCUUCCUAUCACAGAUGUGGAGCAUUGGUUUACCAAGUGUAGCUCUGUCUUUUGGUAGAAUUGCUGGAUGUUUGCUCAUCGUGGUUUCAGUAUGUAGCACAGUGUUCUUUGGACCUGAGAAAGAGGUGGAAUGAAGGAUGGCCUACUUUGGUUUUGUUUAGAGGAUAGUACCCUAGUAUACACUGAUGGCACAAGUCUCAUCAAGAAGAUUUUUCUUGUUCUCUCUUGUAAAGGUAAGUGGUUUUUGCUUGAGAUGUCUCUGGCUUCCAAACUUAACAGCAAAGUUUUUUGGCCAAUGUGAAUUGGUGUUUGGAACCUCUGGUGGUGUUUGGAUCUCCAACACUUGAGUUUUAGUCAUGACUGGAAUGUGCCAAGGAUGGAAACCAAGCACAGUUGUUGGUUGAUGGGACUGGGCCCAAGUUACAUCUCACAGUAUAAGACAGUUCAAUGCCAUUUUUAAGUCUCUGGAGAUCGACUGAUGAUCGUGCAUUUGAUUACCCGGUUAUGUUGGAAGAUCAUUCGGGCACUUACAAUCUUUAGACAACUGUGAGUUUCUGCCAUUUUGAAAAAUCAGUAUCUUUUAAGUGUAUGUUGAUGAAAGCACAUGAUCAAGGAAAAAUUACGAGAUGACCGAGGAAAUCAUGCACAUUCUGCAUGUAUUGAAAGCCAUAUAAAGUUAUGCAUUUCCUUAACAUGAAUUAACCCUCACCAAAUGGUUGCUUUCUUAGGUCCCAACUUUCCAGUUCCUAAUUUCUUUUUCUUCUGGCAUGAUUACUGUAUAAAUUGUUGAAACACAUCUUAGAUUGGUGAUAAUGAAUUGCAUGAUCUUAACCAUUCAGCAUGAUUAAAUGAUCC